Molecule: ribosomal RNA, 895 nt
Filed under: uncultured bacterium
Lineage: Bacteria
Description: bacterial SSU rRNA
Rfam family: Bacterial small subunit ribosomal RNA
Source: RNAcentral
AGAGUUUGAUCAUGGCUCAGGACGAACGCUGGCGGCGUGCUUAACACAUGCAAGUCGAGCGGUAAGGCUCCUUCGGGAGUACACGAGCGGCGAACGGGUGAGUAACACGUGAGCAAUCUGCCCUUCACUUCGGGAUAACUCCGGGAAACCGGUGCUAAUACCGAAUACGACCACCUCAGGCAUCUGAUGGUGGUGGAAAGUUCCGGCGGUGAAGGAUGAGCUCGCGGCCUAUCAGCUUGUUGGUGGGGUAAUGGCCCACCAAGGCAACGACGGGUAGCCGGCCUGAGAGGGUGACCGGCCACACUGGGACUGAGACACGGCCCAGACUCCUACGGGAGGCAGCAGUGGGGAAUAUUGGACAAUGGGCGAAAGCCUGAUCCAGCAACGCCGCGUGAGGGAUGACGGCCUUCGGGUUGUAAACCUCUUUCAGCAGGGACGAAGCGAAAGUGACGGUACCUGCAGAAGAAGCACCGGCCAACUACGUGCCAGCAGCCGCGGUAAUACGUAGGGUGCGAGCGUUGUCCGGAAUUAUUGGGCGUAAAGGGCUCGUAGGCGGUUUGUCGCGUCGGGAGUGAAAACUCAGGGCUUAACCCUGAGCCUGCUUCCGAUACGGGCAGACUAGAGGUAUGCAGGGGAGAACGGAAUUCCUGGUGUAGCGGUGAAAUGCGCAGAUAUCAGGAGGAACACCGGUGGCGAAGGCGGUUCUCUGGGCAUUACCUGACGCUGAGGAGCGAAAGUGUGGGGAGCGAACAGGAUUAGAUACCCUGGUAGUCCACACCGUAAACGUUGGGCGCUAGGUGUGGGACUCAUUCCACGAGUUCCGUGCCGCAGCUAACGCAUUAAGCGCCCCGCCUGGGGAGUACGGCCGCAGGCUAAAACUCAAAGGAAUUGACGG